This 386-nucleotide ribosomal RNA is filed under the name uncultured eukaryote. RNAcentral's name for it is "SSU rRNA". It matches the Rfam family "Eukaryotic small subunit ribosomal RNA", at positions 587 to 972 of the family's 1831-position model. The record is from RNAcentral.
AGCUCCAAUAGCGUAUAUUAAAGUUGUUGCAGUUAAAAAGCUCGUAGUUGGAUUUCUGGUUGGAAGGGCCGGUCCCGCCCGCAAGGGCGGAGCACCAGUGUCGUUUCUGGCCAUCCUUGGGAGGAACGUGUCUGGCAUUAGUUUGUCGGGUUCGGGAUUCCCAUCGUUUACUGUGAAAAAAUUAGAGUGUUUAAAGCAGGCUUAUGCCGCUGAAUACAUUAGCAUGGAAUAAUAAGAUAGGACUUUGGUACUAUUUUGUUGGUUUGCAUACCAAGGUAAUGAUUAAUAGGGAUAGUUGGGGGUAUUCAUAUUUAAUUGUCAGAGGUGAAAUUCUUGGAUUUAUGAAAGAUGAACUUAUGCGAAAGCAUUUACCAAGGAUGUUUUCA